AGUGGAAUUGCUAUAUUUUAUGGUAAUCCUAUGUUAUAUUUUUGAGCAGUCACCAUACUGUUUUUCACAGUGUCUGUACCAUUUUGCAUUCCCAUCAGCAAU
RNAcentral lists this microRNA precursor (102 nucleotides) under Marmota monax (woodchuck). The record is from RNAcentral. Lineage: Eukaryota; Metazoa; Chordata; Mammalia; Rodentia; Sciuridae.